GAUGAACGCUGGCGGCGUGCCUAAUACAUGCAAGUCGAGCGAACAGACGAGGAGCUUGCUCCUCUGACGUUAGCGGCGGACGGGUGAGUAACACGUGGAUAACCUACCUAUAAGACUGGGAUAACUUCGGGAAACCGGAGCUAAUACCGGAUAAUAUAUUGAACCGCAUGGUUCAAUAGUGAAAGACGGUUUUGCUGUCACUUAUAGAUGGAUCCGCGCCGCAUUAGCUAGUUGGUAAGGUAACGGCUUACCAAGGCAACGAUGCGUAGCCGACCUGAGAGGGUGAUCGGCCACACUGGAACUGAGACACGGUCCAGACUCCUACGGGAGGCAGCAGUAGGGAAUCUUCCGCAAUGGGCGAAAGCCUGACGGAGCAACGCCGCGUGAGUGAUAAAGGUCUUAGGAUCGUAAAACUCUGUUAUUAGGGAAGAACAAAUGUGUAAGUAACUAUGCACGUCUUGACGGUACCUAAUCAGAAAGCCACGGCUAACUACGUG
RNAcentral lists this ribosomal RNA (497 nucleotides) under uncultured bacterium. RNAcentral's name for it is "partial 16S ribosomal RNA". It matches the Rfam family "Bacterial small subunit ribosomal RNA", at positions 28 to 507 of the family's 1533-position model. The record is from RNAcentral.